This 209-nucleotide long non-coding RNA is filed under the name Panax ginseng (ginseng). RNAcentral describes it as "long non-coding RNA (PGIN_LNC001074)". The record is from RNAcentral. Lineage: Eukaryota; Viridiplantae; Streptophyta; Magnoliopsida; Apiales; Araliaceae.
AAACACUUUGGCUUGAUUGUCACAUUAAAUUGGACUUAUACUUAUUAUGCUAAUAAUCCUACAAGUCCAUUAUCUUUAGUUAACCAUCUUAACAAUUAUACCCCACAUAUAAUCUUCGUAUGCUAACUCAUAUACUAGUUCGUAAUAUACGUUAUCUCGUUCUUCAUACAUAAUAGUACAAUACGUCGUAUUAUACUUACAUUCAUCAC